Long non-coding RNA from Pongo pygmaeus (Bornean orangutan), 528 nucleotides. RefSeq lists it as uncharacterized. Lineage: Eukaryota; Metazoa; Chordata; Mammalia; Primates; Hominidae. The transcript has 4 exons. The record is from RefSeq and is a predicted model, not a curated record.
CCGGCAGCCUCCUGCCCUCGGGGCACUCGCUCCCCCGAGGUGUACUCCCCGAGGGCUGAGGGAGCGCAUUCCCUCCCGUCCUACUCAUUAACUUUCAGCAAAUGGGGAUACCCAAAGGAGUAGAUAGCGGGUGACCUGUGGCCCUGCUGUUUGAUUCUGGAUGGAGUUACGUUUAGGAGACUGGCAGCAAGCUAGGGCACCUGUUCUGUUAGUGACGAUGCCACACUCUGGAAAUAGAAAUUGUGAGUCCAGUUCCUCAUCCAGGAAAGGGGCAGAGCAUGGAAGAGCCAGGGCUGGGCGCCUACUCCAAGAUCACCGUGGGGAAGGGAUCUGGCCCAUGCCAAGAUUCUGCUGCUCCAUCAGGUUGAUUUCUGUGGGGCACAUCUGUCCCUUACCAAGAAGAUCAGGCCAAGGAACACCAGGAGGAGAAUCACAGCCACCAGGACCACAAUAACUAUGGCCCAUGCAGGGAAUGAAUCAUUCUCCCCCAUCUGUCCAGCGUGGAUACCUUUCUGUGAGUCAUCUUUA